Molecule: ribosomal RNA, 539 nt
Filed under: Pyreneola leptalea
Lineage: Eukaryota; Metazoa; Mollusca; Gastropoda; Neogastropoda; Columbellidae
Description: partial small subunit ribosomal RNA
Source: RNAcentral
GACCAAGAGGUUGAGUUAUGUGUAUAGGUUAAAAAGACAGUUAGGCAGUUUUUUCAAUAUAAUGAUUCUUUAUUAAAGGGUAAAAUUUGGAUAUAAAGAGUUAAUUUAAUUUAUAUUUAAACGCUGAAUCUGUGAUAAUUAUGAGGGAAACUGGGAUUAGAUACCCCAUUAUUCAUUAUUUUAAAUAAAUAGUAAUUUACCUGAGUACUAUGAAUCUAAAAUUUAAAACUCAAAGGGCUUGGCGGUGUUUUAGACCUAUUAGGGGAACCUGUCUCGUAAUCGACAAUCCACGAUAUAACUGGCCUUUUUUUGUAUUCAGUUUGUAUACCGUCGUCGUCAGGUAACUUUUAAAAAUGUAGAAGUUGGCAUAAAUAAUAAAGUAAAUUAAGACGUCAGAUCAAGGUGCAGCCUAUAAAAAGGAGAGGAUGGGUUACAAUUAUAUAAUAGUAAUAUGGAUAGUUUAAUGUAAAAAGCUUAAAAGCGGACUUAAAAGUAAUUAUGUAAUAUAUAAAUAUUUUGAAUUAGGCUCUGAAACGUGC